GUUGUACCGGCACUGGUCGUCCUGGCACCUCGCUUUCUCUCCCAGUUCUGCCUCCUAGUAUAUUCUUUUUCUCAGGCCUGUGUCACACACUGGACAAGUGGAUACUAGAACCUGACUACAGGGGUCUUCGACAUCACAUCAGUGCUUUGUGAAUGUGAGAAACACGAAGAUACCAGAGUGUAGGGAACAGGAGGAUGAUGAAGACCCCUGGCCCCUCAAAGACCACCUGCCUGAUGCUACAAAGAAAAGACUGGAGGAGAAGAGCCACCACAUCAUGAGGUAGUUAUGUGAAGGAGGUCCACAUCAUAAGGCACUGAGAUCUCCGGACAACAGCAUUGCCAGCUCCCUGCUCAUCAGUGCACUAUUUUGAAUAUAAAUCCACUAGCUCAGGCCAAGCCUUCAGGUGUCUACAGCCCCAGUUGAAAUGCCUGCAACCCCCUGAGAGGGUGCAAGGUAAUGUCAAGCUCUGGAGUAAAGCAAUUUAUUUUGCUAUUAUGUCCUAUAACCAGACA
Molecule: long non-coding RNA, 512 nt
Organism: Heterocephalus glaber (naked mole-rat)
Lineage: Eukaryota; Metazoa; Chordata; Mammalia; Rodentia; Bathyergidae
Source: RefSeq, a predicted model, not a curated record